RNAcentral lists this long non-coding RNA (32759 nucleotides) under Gallus gallus (chicken). The record is from RNAcentral. Lineage: Eukaryota; Metazoa; Chordata; Aves; Galliformes; Phasianidae.
GGAAAAGCAGUCCUCAGCUGUACAAUUUUGCAGCCGUGUUAUGCACCUGGGAAAACUACCCUUCAUAUUAGAAUAUCUGUCACAUGCAGCUUGAAAGACACUGCAAGAGUAAAAGGGAUGGGAUCCUUACUCCUCCUCUUAGUAAUCGCAAGGGAUCAACGUGUUCCAUGUGAUCAAAGAAAGGUGAAACUUCUGUGACAACAAGAUGAAAACAGGUUUGCACUGCAUCCUGUGGGAUAUUAGAAUGAGCUGCCAAGAAGCUAGAAGACAGGUCUUUCUAGACAAAAUAUCUAGACCAUGGAGCAUAUGGCAGCCUCCAAGGAAGACAACAUGUCUCAGUCUGCUGGAGAACUCUUCCCUUGCAGGCGACUUCUUUGGGAGAUGAAGGGAGAUGCCAGGGAUUUGGAUAACGUUCACUCAUCUCAGUCUUGGGGAAAAAUCUAGAUGGGCUGAUACGUGUUUGAGGACAUUGUGGAUGACCUCCAGGGGGACCGAACUCAUCAGAAAUCAGGUAUUAAAGGGCCGCUUCACCACUCCUGUCCCAUGUGAGAAAUGCAGGCAGAAAAUAAGUGAGUAUGAAGUAUUUCUUUUCCAUUCUGACUGUAUUCCAACGUUAUCUGUACAGAUAUAAGCUGACUCUAAAUUGGAAGGUAAUACAAUACUAGAGGACAGAGGCCCAAUUCUCAUUUAAAUUUUGGCUACUUUGUAUUACUUGGCAAUAAACAGACAAUUGGGUCAACAGACACAAUUGGGUGCAAAUAAUCUCUUUAAGCUAAAUUGGCAUAGCGUCCGUAAAAGAAAUAUAAGUGAUAGUGCAUCCUCUGAUAUUAAAGUACAAAUAAAAUGUGGUAUCUUAGAAUGAGAACGAUUUGACUUUCCUUCAUGAUCAUCAUGCAUCUUUUCUAAAUUUUCUAUUUAUUGUUGUUGAUAAAGAGGAAGAUUUUUCACCAAAUAGCACAAGGAGUGUCACAGGGAGGUAAAGCACCUACCAAUAGCUUUGUAUGUUGUGUUGUUUUGUUUGCCAAGUCAAUUUACUUUUCUGUACUCUAUAUGAUAUCAUGCAGGCAGGUAGCAACUGAUGUGUUGUUUUUCAAUUUGAUGUGCAAGUAGGAAGUCAAUGUUUUCCAUCAGGAUACAGUUAUUACAGGAACAUCCUUAAGAUAUGUGGAGUUGGAUAUGCAAAUAGGGUGAAGUUUUCUCUGCUUAAUCUAAACUGUUAACAACACGGAAGGCAGGUAUCUGUGCCUAAUAUGGAAAAUAAAUAUUUCCAGAAAAGGGAGCAAUUCAGAUCAAGACGCAUGCUUCUAUAGUUAAUAAAAAGUGUUGUGGUUUUUCUAUUAACUAAUGUGACUCCUGAGUACUUCCUAACUGUUAUGGCUGACUUCAUUUCAUGCAGUCAGUCCUCAGAUGGUUAUCUGAGCUGUAGUUAAAAUUUGUAAGUGAACUAUUUUCAAAGUGAAAAUAUCAAAGGUUUUCUCAGUCUUCAGAGAGAUUAAACGUCAAGUUUUAUUUUAUUUUUGCUAGCAUUGAAGUGGAUCCAGAACCUUAGUUGUUAACUUUCAACUGGUUUCUGUAGUUCAGAAAUGUUUCUGAAACUUUACGUAGUAAUAAAAAUGUCUUACAACCUCAAAUAUUAAAUCAAAAGCACUCUUUUCUGUUGGUCUGAACCAAAUACAAAACCCUAUGCCAUGUGUUGACAAUGACUUCUUCAAUUUGAAGUGUUAUACUAUGCUAUUAAUUGUAGCAUUUAAUUAAAAUGAUUGCAUUCAUUAGAAUCAAAGACGCUACAGAUGGAUAAACUGUUCUAUCACUGAGAACAUCUCCCCAUUUAAACUUGCAACAUUAUGUAGCAAAAAGGUGUUCAAUAUUAUUCUGUUCUACUUCUGAAAUUAAGGGGAAAAUAUUACAGUAAUAGUAUAUAUGUUAAUCUGUGUUACAAGACUGAUACACCUUGCUUACUAAUAGUAAUUUAUUAAGGGUUGUGACACAUUUUUUCUUUUCAUCAAACUGAGAGGGUAUAAGAAUGUAGUUCAGCAACAACAGCUACAUUUCAUCAUUUCAUUAUGUCCUUUGUGCAAAUAUUUUGCUCCAAAUGGCAUUUUAACAGUUACGAUUAGAGAACUCAGUUUCAUACAUCAAAGAUGAUCCCAGGCUAUGGUCUCAAUACCAAAACCCAAUCUCCUUUGAAGUAUGUGGAUUUUCAUGUCUUUAGCAUUGACUAAUGUCUCAGCUAGAAGUAAAAAAUGUGUAAGUAUAAAUUCAAAUACGUUUAAUCAAAAACCUAUAUAUUUAUUACCUGAUAUUUUCUUUAUUGACAAUAUAUUUUGAAUAGAAGUCUGUAAAACUUUAAGUGCAACAUAAGUAAAACAAUAUCAUGAAACACUUAUCAUACACAUAUUCAGUGGUAUCCAAAUAAUUUGUGGCCAAAUUCUUUUCUUUAGUAUUAUGACCACCACAUAAAUGUUCCUAACUAUAUUCCUUUUGCAUCAUAUUUGCAUGUGUGGAACUCAAAAAGGGGAAUGGGGAAGUUUUUCAAUUGGCAUUCUAUAUUCAAUUUGAGUUGCAAUACACUAUUUUGCAUUACAUAAAUAUUUUCCAGGAAAAAUAAUACAAAUACAUAAAUAAUUCCUAUGUUAAAUUAAAACAGAUGAGUGUGAUCUAGAAAGCCUUGCGGUGAGAAUCUGCUUAUGGGUGCCAGCUUUGCUGUAACAUAAGCAGGCUCAGCCGUAGGGACUGGUCUAAUGUGUAGGACAUAGGGAUAUAUCUCCCUCAGACAUACAAUUCUCUUUCUGGUCUUCUCUGAUGCAAGAACUGAAGUAUUAUUGAUGAUAAGUGGUGAUUUAAACUGGCCCUGGUGCUGUAUUGCUAUCAUCCAAGGGCAUGUUCUAAGGUGCAUUUGCUGCUGACAUGAGCCAGCAACUGAAACAUGCCCACUGGUGUGCAGUUCCCAGAAGCACUCAUUCUGCUUCUGGUCACACUAGAUCUGGUCUGGGCUGAUGUGAACUGCUUGUAAAUUUUGUACUGUUUUAGAGGCAUGGGUUUGCCAAGCAUGUUGUGCUGAUUUGGUCACAUUGAAAUAAUAAUCUAAGAUUAAAAUACUUCCAGAUCUCUUACUUUAGGUGUGAGGAAAUUACUAUUUAACUAGAAUGAGAAUACACAAAUAUGUUUGUGUUGAGCUGUGGUGCUUGUUUUGUUAGGGAUCCAAAAUAAUUUUAUGUGUAGGAAAGUCUCCUGGAGGGCACACAGUGUACGGUAAGGUGGUGUUUGAGUUCACUUUGUUAUGGUGAAAUUUACCUAUGGCACACUGGAGGGACUUGAGCAAGGGAGAGAUUACCCACAGUGUUUGAAGAAAAGAAAAGGUAAUACAUUUUGCAAAUAACACCUCUCUGUGGGGGGUUUAAGUGCAUCCUACGUAUUGGUUGGAUAAUACAAACUAAAAGUAACUUUUCUGAUCUUUGUGAGCGAGGUAAAAUUGAGCUAAGGAGACUGGAAGAAAAAUGCAAGGGAAUAAACAUUUUCUAUGAAAUUAAACCCAAUACAAUUGAAGCUGCAGGGAAAAUCAGCAGUUAAAAUAUAAUAAACAGUCUUGAAGUCUUUGAAUUCCCACAGGAAGGAAUUGUUCUGUUACAGGAAUCCAGUAUUAUUAAGUGGAAUUCACCCGACAGGGCAGGAAAUCCCUUGUAGGAAAAGCAGAAGUUUAAAGCUCAAGGCUCUGUAUUGAACUUCCACUUUGUGCUUUUCAGUUAAAGAGAGAGUAUUAAAAUAAGAGAAAGAUAAGGCAACAACACUGCUCUUGUUAUCCAAGCUUGCCAUGCAUCCUGCUUCUGCCCCUCAUUACUGGACUUAGCACCUGGUUAGCCUCUGUGGGACUGAAAAUACUUUCUUAUUGAACAGAAUGUGAAGGCAGAAAAAAAAAAAAAGGAAAAAGGAGUUCCUGCUAAGAAAAUAUUGCAGGAGUGAUUAAGAAAUAGAACAAGAUGAGUUUCUGUCUGAUUGUUCAGGUGCAAAGCCAGAGUUGAUGUAAAGCAGGGAUGGGACACAGGUGUGCUUGUUGAACUUCCUUGGUGCUGUCCCUGUGGGGGUCACAAACCUUAGAGGUAGGGAAAGCUGCUGGGACGUGUAUCAUGUAUGCCUGUUCAUGAAUGGUACAUUCUUGUUUGCACAUGUGAUGGAAUUAAUAUUGGUGGAAGAAGCUGUCAGAGAUUUAAAAAUGACAGAGUAAAAAUGUCCCAGUGGAAGCAAGGGGCUCUACGACAGGAAGAAGCAAAGGCCGAGGAAAACAUCUGUUACAAACAGUAAUACAGGGGAUGGAAAGAAUAGUGUGGGAGGCAGAAGCACAUAUGCCUUGCUGCCAAGCAUACUGAAAAUAAGCUAACAUGUCGGAUUUCACCCUCCGCCCUUUGACAGAAAUGAAAAAACAAUGCAAUCUGCCACAGCUGUAGAAAGUAUCAGUAGAAGGUAAACAGGUAUAGGAAUGGUGCUUCAAAUAGCUGACACGCAGAAGUGCGAGACAGAUACCUGUGGAGGAAGGAAGGGCAGAGUUGAUAAAACACAAAUUAAGUCUGUGUCAGUAGAAGGACGUAGGAAGGUCAAGGCAAAUCAGCUGAAAUUGAUUCAACUGGGUGGAUUAUCUCAUUCUGUAGCAAAGCAGUCAUAAAGCUUAGCUGCAUUUCACACAAGGGUGGGGAAAUUGUAUUUUUUGCAUACUGACUUCAGACUUUCAGCCAAGCUGCCUUUCCUGAGUGUCCUGUAGUCAGAAAUUACAACUGAGUAUAACUUGUGCUUUCAAGUCACUCCUGGAGGAGGUGUCGCAGGUAGCGAUGUGACAGGCAUAAAGUGUAUGCAGAUUGCCCAAUUAGAUAUAACCUGCUAUUGAAGAAACUGUUGCAAUUGUAACAAAAUACAGCACAAACAGUUGUGCGAUAUAGGAAUGUUGAUUCAAAAUCUGUCCUAUGAAUACAUAUAUAAUGUAUUUGCCUUUUCCACUUACUUGCUGGCGCACUGAAGUGCUUCUGGAUUUUGUGAAACAUUCAGUUCUGAAACAUAAGGUACUUUCUCUAAUAAGGUGUGAUGGAUAGGAACGUAGGUAAGAGAAGUAUCCCAGCCCCAGUCACACAGAGCACACAGGGAUUAGUCAUAGAUUUUCAUCCUGAACUGUAGCUCAGGUCAGUGUCAGUUUAGUGGAGAUUUAUACCAUGCAUUGUCUGCUUUUUCAUCAAUGUGAUUUUGAAAGCAAUAUAUAACUAUGGGAGUGUAUUCAAAAAUUGAAAGUCGCUGGUCUCUAAAUAACACGUGUAAGUGCAUUAGAUGAAAAGCGCUCUUCUCUCCCCCAGGUUUAGCAGAGGGAAAAUGACAACACUCAGCAUAUUUCUAAAGGUGUGGAGCAUCAUUCAGUUUCAGAUGGAGUAUCUUUAUUUUAUUCUGUCUAGCAAGUUGCAGCUAGAUUUAUCUCCUGUGCUCUGGCAUAGGAGAGUGUGAAAGUGUUCCUUGUCUCCUCCAGAAAAAUCUCACCCACCCACUGGUGUGAGGAGUAAAUUGUUCCUUCUCUUGGAAGCCUUCUGCCUUCUAAUGUUGUAUUCACCACUGUGGUGUCUGGAAACUUUCUGAGAAUGAGUUAAGUGUUGCAGCUGAAAUCUGGCACAUGUCCUUCCCUGGCCUUUUUGCCUUUUCACCAAAACCUCUUUAAGAAGCAAAUGCCUUCUGUAUCCCCCCAUGCUCACCAUAUGAGGCGAGAUCCAUGCAGGAGGUAAACUGGUGUUUAUUUUAGUGUUCGGAAGUCUCAUUGAUGUGUCUUUCUCCCAUCCUGGGGGUUAAUUUGAUUCCUGAGUUUUGUAUCAAGAAAUAAUUUUCACAGACAUCAGUCUGCUGAGGCUGGACAUGAGAGAUCAUUAUGCUUGCCUGAUUCACUAGGAGGUGAAGCACUGCCCCAGAAAUUGCUCAGCAGAGCCAGCAAAUAGACUCCUAGUAUGGGAAUUUGGGGUACCUGUUCUCUGAUGUACCCUUACUUCAGAGUAUAACAGAGUCAUAUCUUUAGGCUUGUAAAUUAUAAACCUUAUAUUUGUCAUAAGUUGGGAGGAAGUUUGUGAUGUGUGAAUGGGGAGUACUUUUUCCACAGAUCAGUUCCAGACUAAGCAGCUGCUAUCACGUGAUUGCCUGAGAUUUUGGGAACUAUUUGAUGAUCUGUGUGACCUCUCCUAAUCUUAUUAUUAUCGUUGUUGCUCUCUGCUUUUUCAUGCUUUUUGGUGGUUGCUAUAGAGACAUCGUACUCUCCUUCAUUCUUAAGUGGGAGUGCGAGCCAAGGCAGCGCCUCCAGCCUCCCUCUCUUUCUCACCUUCCUCCCUCUCUCACACUUUCUGGCUGUCACUGGGAAUCAUGUCAAGCUCCUUUUCUCCAUCUCCUAAAGAAGCAUUGAUGGCCUCUUAGCACCAGCAUGCUCGUUCAGCAUUUUUCACCAUUCCUUGGGGAGAAGUGUGGCAACACAGAUUGCAUCCAGCACAUGUGCCACUGGCAGCCAGGGGCGUGCCCCACUUGGGCUUGUGGAUUGCCUAGGUUCCAUGCAGCACAGCCCUGUGGAGCACCCCAUUCUGCCGGUUCAGCAGCACCGAGACUGGAUGCUGCGUAACAGUAGUAAGAGACUCUAGCAGAAUGAUAUUAGAAUGCUUAUGGUUGGUUGAGAAUGAGAAAAUCACAUGCUUUUGAACAUUGCAGAUUAAGUGUGAGUUGUUUCCAGGAGAUGUGUAUGGAGUGUAUUUAAAUUUGUAUUUUUAAUAGUCUAUUUUGUAAGUGAUAUUCCUUUACAGGAUAAAUCGACUGGAUUAGGUAUGGAAUCAUCUGUAAUUAACUGGGUGCUAGCUACUUAGGAGGGCACAUACAGCUUGUGUUAUUAAACAGCAUCAUGUCAGAUUUAAUGGAUGUCAUUGCAGAAGUACCUCAGGGAUCUAUCCUUGGACCAUUCUUAUUUAUGAUCUCUAUAAAUGAACUGACAAGCCAGUGCACUGAGUGCAGUGUUCAUUUUUAUUCUGAUGACACAGUCAUGUCCUGAGCUCCUAGCUGCUAACUGAACUUGAAAUUGCACUUUGUGUCUUUUUGAGAGCUCAGCAAUGGUUAAUUCUCAGUUAGGUUGUUUUAAGCAAUUCUGCGGCAGGCAUUCUGACUAGUGUAAUACUCUGUCAGAGCAGGCCUACAAGUAGUCUUAAACAGAUCUAAAACCUUAACGUAGAGGAGAAAAAAAUCAUGAAGCCCCUGUACUACCAAAAAUUGUUGUUCUUCACAUAAUAGUCUUUUGCUACAAACAGAUUUUUCCAUUUUUUUUUUCAGUAAUAUCUGGUCUCACUGAUUGUAUGAGGCAUAUAAUUGCUAAAUAUGGAUGUGCAAACGAAAUCAGAAGUGAAUUAAUGCAAACAUAUUUUUAUUUGCAUUGUGCUGAUUUCUAAUUUUCUGGAGCUUCAUUGAUUUGGGUUUUUUUUUUUUGUAUGUUUUUCUUUUCCUCCCCCACAUUUUUGUAAGAAAGGAAGAUAUUGUGUGUCCUUCUCAGAUAUCUUUGCAAAUCUCUCCCUGCUGGAAAUCUGCUUUUGAUAGUGCAAAUUGCUUUUUAUCCAAUGACAGUGAUAUGACUUAUAUAGAUCAUCUGCUGAUAUAUCAAAUCUUGGGGGGGAAAAAACCUGGAGGUUAAACCCAGAUUCUGCCCUUGGGUUUGGAUUAAGAUUACCCAUGGGGGAAGGAAGCAAGUUCCAACAAGUCUUUAUUUCCGCCUAUAAAUUGAACUACAAGGCACCAGAGACAAAAUGAGGAAGCUGAGCUAAUGCUCCUGCUCUGGAAAAUUGUGUUAGUGGCUCUGAUAAAAUUGAGGGUCUGACAUGGCAAACGGAAUUUAGUGUACAAUGAAAAUGACUGAGGGGAAUGGGUCAGAAGGUGAUUCAUUCAAUAGAAAGUAAUCAGCAGAGUAUCAUCAUAAGUUGCCUGUCCAUAAGCAAAUGAAAAAUGACCGGUGUUUCUUCUAUUGUCUCAGCUGUACCUGAUUGUUAGUGGGUCACUGUACUGAGCUGAGGGCUGGGAGAAAGGUAGAAAUGUAAGGAGCACUUUGGCACUGAGAUUUCUCUCAGGGAAAGGUACUGGGUGAAGGACAUCUUCCUUGCCAUGAAAAGGACAGGGGAUGUUCAGCCCAGGAGCCGGUUUGCUGUGCCUUUUCCCCAUGCAAAUUCCUCUCCUCCACACACAUAUACUUAUCCCUCAACAAAGCCAUACAAAAGGCCUUUAUACUGGUCCCCACCUACCGGAGUAAUAUUUUUUCCUGCAGCUUGUCCUAGUCUCGGAAACUUAUUUCUGUUUGCUUUCAAUUUUGCUACAUUUCAUCAAUUCAGCUGCCAAGUGAAAAAUUAAAGCACUGAAGUAACUGAAAGUACCAGUCCUGUGACAAAGCAGGAGUUUUCCAUUCAAAUUUCUACCCAGAGAAAAACAUUCUCAACAUUUAGUCAUAGUCUUGUCUGGCACUCAUUCAGACAAAUCCUUUCUACUUUUUAAGUUUCCCAGGCCCUAAAUGAUGUCACUGUUUAAAAGAGAUGUAUUGCCCUGAUUCAUUUUCCUUUGACAGUUUAGCAUCAGUGUAAGUUUGACUUUCUGGACAACAGUUCCAGGUCAUCGAAAGGAAGAUGAUUUACUGUUCAGUUAACGACAUGUGUCACGUUCUUUUGUUACCUGUAACACAUUGCAUCCUUUUGGGGGGAGAAAAAAAAAAUCAUAAAGAGAAUGUGUUUAAAUUCUUUUUAAACUGUCAAAGAAAUACUGAAGCUGCUUAGCUGGUUCUCUAGGGCUUUUAUCAUGAACUGGCCUCCCAGAACCUACAGAAAAGAUAGAAACUGGAACUGAUUUCUUUUUUUCUGAGUUCUGAAUAACUGCAGCAGGCAUUUUCUUAUGCUUAAUCAGUAAAUACUAUAAUAACUUCCAAACGUGGCUCAUAUGGUUAUUUAAAGCAGAACUAUGGUUGUUUUAAUAUGGUUAUUGUAGCCAUACAUUCUGUUUUUAUGAGUUUUUAUAUAGCACUAUUACUUAUAUGCUAAUGUUAAGGAUAUUGUUAUAAUUUGUUUUAUGUGUUAAGUAUUAUAGAGGCAGUUGCUAGCAUCACUACGGUUUAGGGUCUUAUGAGCAUCACAUCUGACAAACAAUUGCUUGCUGCCAGAAGCCCAAUGAAAUGUUUAUAGCCAGGAAUACAAAUCACCUUUGCAGACACUUUACAUAGAUUUUCUUCAAGUAGGGGAAACCAUCUGAAUGUGUUCUGUAGGAAUGUUUGUAGUUCUCUACACACACAGGCUUGCUUGUGUAGAAAAUUCCCAGGUUAUUGGUGCUUCCCUGUUGGAAUGGUCAGAGGCACAUUCUUCACAGUUGCUUUGCCUCACCUUUUAUCAAACAUCUGUGUCAUUCGAUCCCUUUUUGUACAAGUCCCAUGGAAGGGACGUGAAACUCCUUGCAUGCUUUAGAGGUUCCUUGUUUUCUUUUUGUGACAUGCUCAGUGCUUAUUUUAUUUGUCUCAUUCUAAAAGCAAAGUGAUACAUUUCCUUUGAGAGGGACACUCAGAGGCAGCAGUGACAACUUGCUUUUCUAGACAAACUCCUACAGGAGCAUUAGUGCCAGUAAGUUCUGCAACAGGAAUACAUUCCUUAUCCCAGACAUUAAUGACAUAUGUGCUUUGUCAAGUGUUGUCAUCAGGCUCACCAGGGACUCAUAUGACAAUGACUUCUUAAUUUUUUCUUCUGUCUCCGGGAGUGACAUAGUGGAUUUCUGCUCUCCUUUGCCACCUGGAGUUCUGUGAGGCAAGCUUAACGGAUUCAUUGCUUAUGCUCAUACUGACUGGCUGUGGAUUUGAUAUUGUAAGGGUUGUUGGUUUUGCAGGAUAUUUAUUUACUAAGAUGAUAGGACUUGAGUCCUUCUGCAUAAAUGAAGGGCUCAUUAAUUGAAGCAAAUUAUGUUUGAGCAGAAAAGCUUUGCAGAUGAAAGGCCUGUUUCAAAGAGACCAUCUCACCAGCAGCACUUCACUGUCAGUAUUCUAAUAUUAAACUGGUAGAGUUUUCUCAUGGUGAAUGAAUAUGUAAGCCUACAUGUCACAAAUGCAGUUUCAACACUAGAUGAUGUCCACUAAGUACAUCCUUAAUACAAAAUGAUUCAAAUUCUCAUGCACAAGUGGAUAUUAAAUCAUAUAGUCCUAUGAUGAUGCUAUAAUCACAGCAUUUUUAGGUAAAAAGUAUCAGGAGAAAGAUGAAUGCUGCCUAUUUCACUUCUGUGGUUAUAUUUUGAAGGUGGUUUGAUCUAGAAAACAUCUACUAGAAUAGGACAGAGUUAGAAGAUUGCCCCAACAGGCUUUACAUGUGAAAUGGGCAACCAGACAGGCCUGGCUGCCAUAACCUGUCAGCACUGCCAUGCCUGUUAUGUGAUUGUGGAACGCUAAUUUUGAAGAAUGAAGCACCACAAUUUGGGGUUUUCAGUCUGAGUCUCAUUGUGCAGUGAGGUUUUAAGAUACCAGUUUCAUUCUAAGUAAUUAUCCUCUGCAGAAACUGCCAAUUCCACAUUUGUACCCUGCUUAAGGCCCUUGGGACGGAGUGCUAAGCUUUUAGGCACUAGACACUAUAGAGUGUGUGGUCUCUUUGACUAAUAGUUUGAUUUCAAAACAUCUGUGUGCGUAUCACUGAAAGGAAAUUAAAUUGAAUUAUAAUUAUCACAGCCAUUUAUGCCCUAAAUUAGUUAUCUAGCUAUUCACAGAGAGGUCAGCAAGCCAAUGGACUAUAGAGUAACUGGCAGUAAAAGCCUUACUAGGGUAAAUAAUAAUUGUUUACAAUGUUGUGGAGCCUGCAGACGAGAGGACAGGGAUACGAUAUACAUCGCUUUUCUGUAGAGAAGGAGCAAUAAGACUGGUGGUAGUAGGCAAUCUGUAAUAGCAAAGUGGCAGAGUAUAUCAGACCCAUUAUGACACAUUUGGUGAUUGAGACUCCAGAUUCCACUUUUUUUUUCUUUCUUUUUUUUUUUUUUUUAAGUUGAAAGACAAAUAGGGCAGAAUUUUGUCAGAAAUUUUGUUGAUCUUCUCUGACAUCCUGUCUCACAGAACCAGAUACAAGAGCAAGACAUGCUUUCUAUGUGAGGAGAGGUACCAAGGGAAUGGUUUCUCUAGUGAUUAUCCCCAUAUGUAUUAAGCACCCAGCUCUAAUUUAUUACACAAGCUAGACAAAGCCUGCAUGCUGAAGUACCUAGAUUAUUACUUUUGGAUGGCUUGUAACAUUUUUACAUCUCUCUGAUGAAAAUGCUUGACAAAAGACAGCUCUUCUUAUUUGGAAGAACUAUGCUAUUGCUAAAUGGAAUAUCUGUGCUUUGUAGCUUGGGAAGGCAUGAAUCUAAAAUACUGAUACUAUGUAAAACAGCCCUGUCACCCAUAUGACGUGGAUGCCACUACAUGUUCUCCACCAAUGAUUGAUGUGACAAACUCCAUAUGUUAAAAAGAGACUGAGGAAAAUCUUUUUUUCCCAGAUGGAAAAAAUAUGUAACAGUGGUACACAAACACUCUUUGCAGAGUUCCUCUGUCUCCUCAGCAGUAAUAAUGUAUCUAAAAAUAAAACUUGGAUCUGGAACAAGAAAAAUAUAGCCUACUGCCGCCCUAGUUUUUUGCACAAAAGAAAUGUAGACAUUUAAAGGUGUCAAGGGAAAGUGAAUUUUUAUUUAUACUGGCCAUGCUUAUUAUUAUUCAACACAAUUAUCUGGAGAGAGAAUAAGGAAGAGUGCUUAAGGUGUUGCUUUCCAAGUAAUUAACAAAAAUAUUUCAAACGUACACAAAGACUGGCAGAUCAUUCAUCAGUGCUUAUUUGGGGAAACAGCUCUCAAUAGUUUAGCCACAUGGGUUUGUGACUGCACCUUAAGGGAGCUUCGUAAUUAAAGAAAAAUAAUUACAAUUGUUAGUGAAGAAUAUUUUAUUAUUACUGAAAGAAAUGAUGCAAGACAGGAUAGGUAAAACAUAGUUAAAAGAUCAGUGAUGAUAUCUUCGGAUACAAUGUCUUAUAGGUGGUUCUGUUUUGGAGAUCAUUUAAAAAAAUAAAAAACAUUCAAAAGAGAGUGUUCCUAGUGGAGACACUGUUUCUAUGUGAAAUAGUAUUGUUGCAAAGCACAGAGAUUUCUAAAAAUUACAUACCAUAUGUAUUGGCAAAGAAACUUCAAGGGUUGAUGAAUGGUAGGUUAUUAAUUUAUAUAUUAUCUGUUUAUAAGCUAUCAGUUUCUGGGCAGAAAUAUUUGCUAAUAAAGACAAUAAAGGAAACUAAGAUUCAAAGAGUAUUUAAAGAACAAUUCUGAGAUAGAUAAAUUCAGGAGCAUUAAGACAUUGUGCAUUUCAGUUAAAAGCCAACACUUCUACCUGUGCACCAAGGUGAGCUGAUGAAAGCUCUUUUUUUCCAAGGAAGCUGAGAAGGCAGACAACAUUGUUAUUAUGUAGCCUUAUUUUCAGCCAACAUCAUGGAGAAAGCUUCCAUUUUCAAAGCGUUUGAGUUUUGAAAACAAAGAUUUUUAUUGUUAAGAAAUGUUCUGGAAACAUUUUUUUCUGCUCUAGGCAUUCUCCACAGUGUUUGAGAAUGUAGGACUUGUCUAAUGAGUUUCAAGACUUCUUUGUUAUGAGUUUAAAAAUAAAAGUUUGCGAGAAGCACUACUGUUUUAAAAUGCUGUUAACAAGCUGAUGAACAGUUAUCCUUACUGCAAGGCUUUGCACUGUUUUGCACACCUUUAUUUUCUUCUAAAGCAAAGAUGUUUUAAAGAAUUUUCUUUCUGUAAAUAAUGAUUAUGAUCUCAAGAGCUGCUACCUUUAAAAAGCGGUAAUGUCUUGAUCUCUCAGAAGUUAUUCUUGAUAGUUUGCCUGCAGCCAAACUUUCCCUAUUUCACAAUUCAUAAUAUGUUUAUAGUAUGGAGUAAAGAACUACUGUCAAAUAAUCUUCAGAGUGCACAAGUCUCUAUAGUGCAUAUACACACAUUCUCCCAAAAUGGAAAGAAAGUAAGGAGUAGAUUAGAAAGCUCUUUACUGUAUUCUAAGUACAAUUGGCAGUAAUAAGUUUGGGGCUUAUGGCCAUGUUUAUUUCAUACUUUUGGUCCUAAUGGUUUCUUAGCAAACUGUGGGACUUUCCAGGUAUUUCCUAACCUUCAUUUUGCUAAAUAAGUAAGCACUCACAGUAAGCAUGUAAGAUCUAUUAUCUUCGAAGAUCACAAACACUCAAUAAUAGUGUCACCUUUAAUUAAAGACAGGUAAAAUUUUAAUAGCUUAAGAUUAAAAUACAAACAUAUUUUGCAUCAAUAUUGAGGAUAGUUCCUUUUAAAGAAAGAAACGAGAACAUUAUCAGGUUGACUGGAAGAAUGUGUGUGUUAAUACACAGGCAAAACUGUUCUUACAGAGAAACAUCGCUGAAAAAUAUCAAAUGUGAAGUACUGAGAAGGUACUAUCAACAUCAGGAUUCGAAGUCAUUUGAUAUGGAAAUAUUUGUUAGAUGUUAACUCUAAAUUACAUGUCAUCUUCCAUUUCUUUUUGGAAAUAGUACUACUCUCUAUGCUCAUUUGCAUUGGUUUCAGACUUUUUCACUCCUUUCCUAACUUAUUUUACAGCUUGUGCAUUUUUCACAGCUGGAUAACAAGCAGAAAUCCCAUUGCACAACAUAUAGUCCAUGUGAAGAAAACUAAUUCUAUGCAUGGAUCAUGCAGUGAAGCAUACAGGAAGAAAAUUUCAAUAACUUUCUAGGUUUCUGAGUAACCAGCAAACACAACUGGAGCAGAUUUUUAGGAUACUGAUCCUAUUUUAGGACUUGCAAAGGGGAUGAAUUUUGAAAGUGGUUCAGUCUGAGCACAUUAGCUUCAGAAGUUAUCACGUUUAUGACCACAUUUUGAGAAUAGCUCAUUCUCCAGUGGACUUACAAAAUUCUAGGACCACGGUUUAAAUCACAGUUUAAACCUGUUUUCAGACAUAAGCAUAUUGUUGGUUUUUUGUUUUGUUUUGUUUUGGAAGGAAUUCUGAAGGUAGACUGAUUUGUUUGGUAAAGAAUAUAGAACUUCAUUUCCUAGGUCUUGUUUGUGCUCAGUCUUAGCAUGCUCAUGGAGCUGUGAGGGAUAGAGUCUUGGCCCACUACCUUCUGAAAGGUUUUAUUUAGAAAAUAUAGCUCUCCUAACCUGAUAACAGUUGGGCUGGUGCUGUUCCCAGACAGAUUUUUAACUUCCCUGGGUAUGCAGGGAAGAAUCCAAUUCUAGGGUUCGAUGGAUGAGGAAAUUUUUGCAGGGUCGAUGAGAAUGAGUUUGCAGUUGUUCAAUGCUAGCAUGUCACAGCAACAUAUUUGGCUGUGCAAAUUGUUUUGUUCAAUAUGUUGAUGUUUGUUAGCAUGAGCGUAUAUCCUGUUGGAUGAUCUGCUAUAGAAGAUAUUGUAGGUAGAUAAUGUUUUCCAAAUGGGCUUGGAAAAUAAAGAAAAAAACAACAUCAAAAAAGACAAUCAUUAUUUGUGUCUUUUGGAAACAGUAAGUCCUUCUAAAUACAAUUCACUGGUUAUGGGAAUCACAGUACAUUACAUCAAGGUCGUAUUAUACCCUCAGAGAUGGUAAAGUCUCAUGCUAAUGACCUAAAGGUCUAAAAGAGCAAUGAAGUAUAAAUCAAUUAUGAAGAUGUAAGAAAAAAACUAAAGUAUUUCCUCAAAGCUUGGCUCACAAAUAACCUGAAAAAGCAUAGUGAAGGUAUGUAAGAUCAUUUGGAGUAUCUUACCUUCAUUUUAGUGGGAUUUUAAAAGCUUGAUCUGGAAGAAUUCAGACUAAAUUUUAAGAUUGCUGAGGUUCAAAUUAGGAUCAAGUUAAACAAAACACAAAUACCUAGGUUUAAAAAAAUACCUAGAUUUCAAUGCUUGAAAUAUUUUUGCCAAUACUUAUCAAGCUGAAGGCCUUCUCUCUUUGAUUUCCAUAAGCUUUGCACGUUCCAUUCAGUUCCCCAGACUACUUAAUGGGAAUCUGAGAGAAGCUGCUAUUCUUCAGCAAGAGGGUGACUUGUUUUCUGUGACUAAAGGCAGAAGAUACUCCAGGCAGCUAGUUGCCAAGGGCUGGACAUAGUUAGGCAGAGUGGGAGGAUAAGGAAAAAGUGCUUGUUCUGUCAGACCAAGGGAAGGUGAUGGAAUGCUGUUGUGGGGAGGCCAGCUGUGGGGAAGAGGCAGCUAGUACUUUUGUUCCCAGCAGCUGCUUGGCAGCAGAAAUGUCAGGUCUGCCUCUCAGCCUCCUCUUCUAGCUGCUAGAAUUUACUUCAUUGUGCCAUGCUAAUGGUCUUGGCUAAAAUGAAAAUGAUUAAACCGCAUUUGACUUUAAUUUGUUGAACUGACAUGCACUUCUUUUUAUUCCCAGUGUGACAAAUUGCUAAAAGAGCAAACGAAAUAAAAUGUAAUUUACAGUUAGUCUGCAGUUGCGCGAACAUGGAAUUAAAAGCAAAAUAAUUUAAGAAUUGCACAGUACUUUAAUUAGAAAAAUUACUUUUUCCAAGUCUCCUAUGUUCUGUUUUCCAGCCCGUGUGCAGAUCAGGUCUUCCCAGAGUUUCUUAGAGUUGGGCCCCAUACUGUGAGACAACUUACUGGGGAGACAGCUAAAAUAUUUUGAUGGUUGUGUUUCUGGUACUUCUAGAAGUUUGGUGCAGCACUACAUAUGUGCAAAUACAGAUUUGCACAUAAAGAAGUAAAUCCCUUAUGCAUUUUGAGGCAACUCUGUUUUAAAAGUGCUGUUGGAGUGGUAAACUGGCGCAUCUAUUUGAUUAUAUUCGGUGGCAGCUGGGAGUAACAGCACUGAGAUUUUCUCAGGUAGAGUUAGUUAAGAAGACCUAAAAGAAAGUGAGAAGAACAUACCAAGAAAGAAAAGGAGUAUUUCGUGAAGAAUGAGUAAAGGAGCUUAAAUAGGAUCUAAAUAUUAUUAUAAAUUGUAGGUUUGUAAAGACCAGAUAUUGAAAGAUUUUUCUCAAGCCAUCAUUUUCUAGUUUCAUGGAGAGCAAUAAAACUUAUUAAUAUUACAGUAAAGAGAAAGAUGGGACAGUCAGUGAAUGAUUAAUGAAAUGUCCUAAUUUGGUAAGGGUAGGAAAAGAAAACAGAAGACCAGAGACAAGAUUACUCAGUGGUUCAUGUAAGUUUGGAUGUUGCUCAUUCUGGCUGAUUGUUUUGUGGUCUGUGACUCCAUGUGUGAUGAAAGUCUGCUAAUGAAUACAGACUGUGCAAAAUAUUUGUUGUUAGGAAACUCUAAAAGUCUUGCCUCUGAUGUUCACAGAGUUACAGGUAUCUGUGUAAUAAAAAGAAAAAAAAUGACAGAUUUUAAAGACAGCAAGGGAAACAGCUCAAGUCCGACAGGUCUUUUUUCUGUCCAUGUUAUACCUGAAUUACUCAAAUAUGUUACAAAGCUAGUUGAAAUACAAUUAUGUAUGUUAAAAGCUUUCUUUAGGCAUUAGGCCCUCACAUCCUUCAUGUCCCUAGUGAUAAAGGGGCAGGUUGAUCUGGCUAUAUAGGUAUGCCUAAAUUCCUCUUUGGAAAGUUGUAGAGGUCAGGGAAAGAGCAUACUUGUCUGAGUUGUGUGAUUAUCGGCAUUAGUUUGGUGCCAACAUCAGCUGGUCUGCAAAACACCUAAUGCAUAGUUUUCUGAAACAUUGAAAAGAACACCAAACUCUGCAUGUUCUGAACUGGGACUGCCCUAAAGUAUUGGCUGAGUUUAUGCCCAGAGUUCAGAAAACACUAAAUUUAAUGAUCAGCAGUGCAGUUAUUGUUACUAGAACUUGUGCUCAGGAACAUGUUGUUGAGUGUAACUGAUUUAAAGCAAGGCCUGAAGAUAAAGAUGGAAAGAUAAGAGAUGAUAUUGAACAUUAAAAAUAUUCUGGGAAACAUAAGUGCCAACUGGGUCUGUAAUCUUUAGUGAGAACACAAAUGAGAAAAGAUGCCAUUGUGAUGCAAAAACGUGCUAUCAGGGUAUUGGCUGUGUGUGAUAAGUCACCCAUCAACCAUCUUGUGACAUGAAUGUUGUGUUCUUUCUCUCACUAAAGACUGUAGCACACACAAAUGACAAAAUGGUGAAACAGUCCGUUUUAGUUCAGCUCAAUGAAUGAUUUCCCACAAACUCUGUUUCUUAUAAAAUAUUGACUUUUGCACUGUAUGUAGUCAGCUAUGAUCAUAUUGAAUCCUUGAACCUACCGGCUCUGCAAAAGUAAUUGAAUACUAUUUGUUAGCAGGUAAAACUGGUCGGUUACCAACAGCUUUCUGCACUUCUUUCUCUCUUUGUAUUGGUUAAUUUUGACUGGAAACCUCCAAUUUUUUUCUUGUCCUUCUUUGGCUGGCUGGCUGAGAAUCAUUUGUCUUGUGCAAAUAUAAAUGCACUGACACACUUCAGUUCAUUUUAAAAGCAUUUUUCUGAUCCUAGUAUCUUUGGCUUCAUCUUCGGAAUUUACUUUUGUAAACAUUUAUGCCAGCAAAACCCAAAUGAACAAGUUUUUUUGUUUUGUUUUGUUUUUUCCAGAAUGUAAAUACACAAAUGACAUUAAUGUGGCUUAAGUAAAUUUAUUUAUAAAUGCAAGCAAAUAUUCACAGAAAAUGUAGCCCCAUUAGCAGUCCCCAGAGCUUGUCAGUCUCAGAUGAGGUCAAGGACAGGGGGAUGUAAUGGUGUCAAAGAAAAACAGAUGCAGGCAGAUAACUGUUGUGUGAUUCAGAGAUAUAAUUCACCUGAAGUAAGAAAUGGGAUCUGAAAUGCAGCCUCACUCUCUUAAAUAGAAGGCACUCAAGCUUGUUUUUGUAGCAGGUUGCAAUUUUCUUAAAUAGUCUGUUCUACGUGUUCUUUUCCAGCCAAAAUAUAUUAUAUGUUUCUCUACUUUUUGAAGUGGGUAGUGUAGAGUGGUGUGAUUACAGCUUUUAGCAGCCACUUUUUGGCUGUCUGGGUCUCCUCUGGUAAUUGAAAACUUGUUUAUUGGCAUCAUUUGUUGGACUUUAUUUAAUCACUGCUUCUCCUCUAGAAGCUGCUUUAUCCCUUCCAAGGGUUGACUCUUUGCAUAGGCUUUGUGCUUUUUCUGAUGCUGGGUAAGCUCUGUUUCAUGCAAGCGUAGUUGUAAUUUAGAAGUGGUGAGGAGCCACCAGCUAUUUUGUUGGGGCUGUGACAGACUCUGUUCACCCAAGGCUCAGUACUGGCCUCAUACUAGGAGGGGGAUAGGUUCAUCCUCUCGCUGCCAUUCCCAGAAAGGUCCCCCUCGUUCCUCUGAGUGUGGCAGCAGGCAGUCUGGCCAUGGUUGUAACUGGGAAGAGUUUGCUUAACGUUGCUCUGUUUAUCAAAGUGGACCCUUGUAAACACUGGUCACUUUAGAUUUUUGUUUAAUCAAAUUACAUGCAGUGUAUACUAGAUUUUGCUAUAAUUUAAAUAUUGUCCUUUCCUCCUUGUCAACACAAUGUCUUGGCUUCACUUCCUCUUAAUCCUGAGAAGAAAUGGUUUUUAUCUUAUACUACUAUUAUUUUGUGGGGGGCCUGACAGAUGCUGGUACUUGCUGGCAGAGCAAGAGGAAUGCUGCUGUAAGCAACCAAAGUGUUUUUUGUUGUUGUUGUUUCUUUGUUUGUUUGUUUGUUUUUGGUUUUUUGCUGCUGUGAAAGAGAUCCAGGGACUGUGUUUGCCCCAGUAUAAUCACACUAAAUUUCUUUUUGACCCCUUAGGAAAAGCUGCAGGCAAGAUUCUUCUAAUGGUGUAGUUAUAACAAGGAGAAAGGGUCAUCAAGUCUAGAGUCCCAAGUGUUUAGUGCAGCUGAAUUUUCAGCUCAUCAGUUAGGAUAGGGCUUGCAGAUCAGUAUUGAAUUUUUCAACUUCCUCUGUGAAAAGGAUAGCUAAGAAGGGGUACUGAAUAGCAUUGCUUCUUUUAUAGAUUUGUGUGAUUACUUUUUAUGUAAAGGAGCAUCACUCUUGUACUGACACUUAUACACAAGAAGUACGUCCACAUAUGUGUGGUGAGCAUCUUCAUAUAUAUUUAGUGAACUUGUAUAUUUUUUCUUUCUGUCAGUCAAGAUGAUGGCUCAGUAAAUACAAAGCCCCUUCCUCAUGUUGUAGGUAACAUGGGCAAAGAGUAAUCAGCUGCCAGGUGUACCUGAAAAAAGAAAAUGGGAAACAAAUAAUUGCAAGGUACAUGUUUUAUAUUCCUGUGAACAGAAUACAGACUGUAUAUUCAACUGCCCUUGUGUUGUUUGAGAAUUGCCAGCAAUUAAUUGCUGAAAAUUCAGAACUGAAUCCUAAAUGUCCUUGUUUAUUUGCACUAGAAUAUGAAAUACAUAGAGACAUGCCCAUACAUAUACAUACAUGCCUAUUUAUAGAUUUGUGACACAGGAUAGACUUCUCUUUCACUGUUCAAUGACACAUUCUUCAGAGCUCUGGCACAGAUCCAGUUAAGCAAGCCAGACAAGGGAAUUACUGUCUUCUUCUGAGUUUAUAACAAGCCCACCUACUCAAUUAAGUUGUACUGGUGACAUAAAAUUAGAAUACAUGCAGAGUGGGUGGUUAUUUCUUUAUAAAAUCACAUUAUUCCUAGUGCAAUAGAAGUACAAGGUUCUUCCCCCCAAAAUCACUUCUCCUACCCAAAAUCAUACUUGCUGGGAGCUGUCAUCUGGGAAGGGACCUAUGUUGUCCAAAAUUAUACCCAGUACAGCUGCUUUUCAUCAUUUGUUCUAAGACACUUAAAACUGACUCUGCCUUAGCCAGUAAAUUUUAGUCUAUUGCCUUUUUGUACAAUGAUGCAGAAAAUCUUUUUCCUCCCUCUAUGGUACUCACUGAGUACCUCAGCCUUCGUAUCCGUUGAAGUCAUUUCUGCCUUCUCAUUUAUUAGACAGCAUACACUCUCCUUUGCCUGUCUUUUCUAACCAAUUUACCUGUAAAAUCCCUUCUUGUUAUUUUUUCACAUCAUUACCGAGUUCAGUUCCUUGAUCUCAUCUCUGCAUGUCAGGGUGACAUCUCUAUGUUAUUCCCAGGCCACAUGUUCCUGCUUCCACUGCCUGUACAUUUCCUUAUUUUCCCUCACUUUGACCAGCAGGUCCUUGCUCAGCCAUGCUGGUUUCCUGCCUCCUCUGCUUGAUUUCUUAUGAUGGGGGAUGGAGAGCUCUUGUGCACUUCAUACACAGAUCCAAAUAUGUAUGUGUCUAUAUAUAUAUAAAUAUAUGUAUCUACAGUACAUAUGUGAAUACAUUAUUCGCAUGUAUGUAUGUGAAUAGAAAUAUAUAUAUUGAGGGCUUAUGAUGUUUCCUUUAUUCUCUUGGAAAAGAUAACAGUGGCUACUUUUGACAGUAGUCUACUGUAUUUUAGAUAAGGUCUUUGAUACUUUGGAUAGAGAACUCCCUUAUGUACCUUAUGAAAUAUCCAGCAUUGUCUUUCUCUUGCAUCUCUAGACUACAUCUGAAAAGCUGCUUUGCCAGAUGGCACUGUAAAUCUGUAACAUUUGAAUGUAUUUUUGGCAGCUCUGGGCAUGCGUAGUAUCCUGGGUGAAAUAUUUUUGCUUGCCAGGCUAAAAAAGUGUGUAAACUUCAGAACUGUAUUCAGUGACACCUGAAUACCUACCUAUAUUUUUCCAAGUACCCAUAGAGAAUCUGUCUUACCCGAUAAUAAGUAGAUAAAGUAAAAGUGUAUAAUUGUCUACUAUAUCUCUCACCUGACUCUUACCAAAAGAUGUGGAAAAAGUAGAGGCUUCCUUUAAGAGUUCUCUGCUAAUGUUCUGGAUCUGGGAGUGCUGAACAAAACUUACCUUUAAUAUUCCAGUAGGCAUUCAUACUUUCAUCAGUAUAGUAGAGAUUUUUUUGUUUUAGGUUAUGACCAUAACUAUCUGUUAUUCACAGAGCUAUUUUGUAGUACAGGCAGUCUCCCCUGUAUUACAACUUAAGAUGUGUGUAAAUAGUCUGACCUCUUUAUUUUCCUGGAGCACACAACUAACAUAAUUUACAGAAUACAUGAUGUUUGGUGAUAUUUACAAAAAAUGGAUGACAUCUACAGAAAAUAAAAUUAUUAACCCAACGGAAAUUCACAAAGCAUUUGGAAUCCAGGUAACAGAUGUGAAAAAGAAGUAGAAAAUGCUGACUGAAAUUUCAAAUCCUACCAGGUUCCAGACACAGCCACAACUUUGUAUUCAUUUGGCUAAUCAAUAAUUAGAAGCAACUGUAGGGCAGCUUGAAGAAUGAAGAUUGAAUUUUAAUACCGGUUGUUUCUUAGUGAUAUUGAGAUUUUAAGUCAGUGCUUUGGACUGAUUCUGUUACUUGAAGUUUGAAUAAUAAUCUUACGCAAGUAUAUAUGAAAUACUAGUAAGCAGUGCCACUAUCUUUUAGCUUACUCCUGCAUAAGUUUGCUCAUAUUUAGACUUCUUUUCAAGUGGAGCAGAUUUAAAUGGGUAUAUGUCUUGGGAAUAUGCCUACCAACCUGCUCGUCACCAGUGGAAGGAAUUCCUCUCUUUCUCAUGCAGAUGUACCAUUAUACAGAAAGCUGGUGAGCGUAGAAACAUAGGUCUGUAGUUCAGUGAUGAGGACUCUUUUCAACAGAAGUGCAGUCUUGUGUUCUAGUCCCUCUCUUUUUAGCUAAUUUCUCCUUCUGUAUCUUAUGUUAAGCAGCUUAGUCUCUGGAUCUCCAUCAUGAUGUUCUGCUAAUUGUCAAGCUGUUGAGCCUUGUCAAAACUAAAAUGCUCUGAUGAUUCCUAUAUUUUCAAUUCAAUUCUAAAUGUCUUGGGAAAAUUGAAGUGGAGUUAAUGCAGUUUAAGCAUCUACAGGAUUAAACAGAAGUUGCAUACUCAUAGUACAUGAAUAAAUGCCUUAUCCAUAGCUGUGUGCUUAAAAAUUAUACCAUCCAAUGACCAUUUCUGCUUCUCAUAGCUACUUUAGGUGUUCCUUCCAAAGCUUCUUGAUCCUGAUAUUUUCUCUGCAACUCUUCCAUAAACUCUACUUCAACCAAUUCAUUACAGGCAUGAAAUGAAAUGAAAAGAAACAGUUAAGAAAGAUAUGGAAAUUUUAAGCAAAAGCUGGCGUUGGAGGGUGGAGGUAAAGAAGUAUGAAAAGAUUAAAAAAAAAAAAACAUAACAAAAACAACCACAAAACAUCAAAGUACAAAACUGCAGGGAGGAAUGAAAAGAAAACAACAGCAACAGCAGUGAAGACAUGAAAGCAUUCUCAGUAUUUUGGUUGAAGUACAGUUCAUAUACAAUAUGGAACUUAACACAAUUAACAAUUAGAGAUAACAAGAUUUGAGGAAGACAAGAUCAUCAGGCAUUCCAUUUUUUUCAUUUGUUUAUUUUUACUGUUUGGAUCUUGUUUGAUUUCUUACCAUAAAGACCAGGUUUUUUUUAUUCUGUGGUUAUUUCAAAGUCCACAGAUAUUUAAAAACUUCAGAGUACAUUCAGAAAGGAUUUUGGGAGAUGGUAAGAAAUUUAAAAUCAUUUUGGAUCCAGAGACAGAUGAAAAAUCCAGUAGCAUGUUAAAAUGUGUAUAACUGAUGGCAAACCUAAAUCAAGAAAACUGAAAGGAGUUCAGAUAUUUCAGUGGAGAAGCUGGAAUUUAUUAACCUGAAAAAGUAAUGUUCUGCCUCAGCUUUUCCAGCCACUGAUUGUAAGUUUACUUAAUAUAGAUAUGUUUUCUAGACGAUUGAAUCAGUAACUAUUUUGGCUGAAGAUGGCAUGUAUAAGUGAAGUAGUCAGAAGUAUGCCUGUGAGCCAUGCUUAGGUUUUUGGAUCUGCUUUUAGCAAACCACAAAUGUAUCAUAACAGAACACAUCCCUUGAGUGCCCUCCAACUGACUCACCUGUGUUCAGACUCCUGGUAUAAAAUCCCUUUAGGAGAUGUUGAGGCUUUUGUCACACCAGUGAUGAGGAUUGGCUCUUUUCCUGAGCAGAUGACUUGGUUACCUAUCCUAUGAAACAUGACAUAUAGCAUAUGCUCCAUUGCAGCUAUGACAGUCAUACCUACUAUUGCUCCCAAAAUAAAGAAAACCUGUGUCCUCUGUGAUAUUCGCUUGAAUGAUGGGGCUUAUUCAUUCAGCAAAGGGAUUUUCCAUAUAGUGCUUCAUGUCUAGCCAAUUUACCACUUACUGGUGGAUCUUGGAGAGUGUUUCACACAAUGUCAGUGUCCCUGCACAUUUUGACUUUUGCCUUAAGAUAGUAGUGUAUAACAGCAGAGUCUGUCAGCUACCACUGAACUCAAGAGUUAAAAGCUAGAGGUAGCAUGUUUUCACCAGUGCAGACUGUGCGCUUUAUGGUUGUGCAUUCUUUGCUUACCUUAAACUGCAAAAGAAAUUGAGGCAGGAGCCACUGAGUUUCUGGAGAUAACUUCUUGCCUCUUGAGGACAUACUAGUGUCUGUUCCCAUUUCAGGCUUUUGGUGGUAAUGUGGCUAUGACUUGUAAAUGUGGUGCCCCUCUCUCUUUUAUAGCACCGAAUCUGGGUUAUGCUAAGCAAAAAUGGCUCAUUCUCUUGCCCUGUAGCUUAGAAAUAAAGCAAAAUACUUUAGUGGGGGAAAGACAAUUCUGGGGGAACAGAAAUUAUUGUUUCCUGCCGGGUGGAGACAGAGCAACUAGUGAAGUGUUGAUGAACUAAACUCUUUGAGAAUCUUUCUCCUUCACAUGUCUCAAUCUGUGACCUUAGUAGCCUUGCUUUUCUUCUGGGAAUCCUUAAAAAUAUUCUGUGCUGUAAAUAAUUGAUAGGUAUAUUAUAUAUAUAGCUAUCAUGGUACCUUUAACCUUCAUAUUUCUGAUUAACCAUGCCCUCAAAAUCUCUAUUUCUAUUUGGGACAUUACAGCUCUUUGUAGUGGUAUAAUUCAGUCUCCUGAGCACACAUGUUACAAUGGUUUCUGACCUCCAGAUGUGUUUAUUAUAAUCCACUCAUUGUGAAGAAACAGCAGAUAAUGAUAAAAGUUCAAAGCAGUAAAAAUUGCAAGCAACUGAAAGCAUCACUCUUCUGUUCUGCAUUCCACUCAGACUCUCUAGUGAAUAUAUGUUGUAGAUUGUUUUAUACCCUGAUAUUCAGAGCCCUAUAUAUUUUAAAUAUACUCCUUGCUAUAAGUUCUGACAGCUGCAUUCUAUUGAAAUCACGAAGCUGUGACCAGAGGAUGAAAUCUCAGUAGCACAGAGAGGAAAACUAAGCUUAUGAAACUUAGCACAGGUAUAAAUAAAAAUGACUCUCAACCUCACACCAUUCAGCAAAAUUCAGCUCGUUGAAUUGGCUUUCCCUCAUUAAAUUUCUUAUGCUCAGACACACACUUUUCCAUCUUCUCUUUCUGAUCACUGGAGAAUUAAAAGAGACAUUUAUCUUUGAAAUUUUUGGGUGGAGUUUAGAUAGCUUGUAAUAAAUAGAAAUGCAACAGUUUAACAAUACCAUCUUCCUGCUUAUGCUAUAGAAUAUAUACGUAUAUACAACUGGUUUUCAAGGUGCCAGGGGAAUUAGAAGAGAACAUGAGAUUGUCAUGAAGUCCCUUAGUUCAGUCCUAUAUUCAUAGGUGCUGAGAGGGAGUGUAACAGCUGGAGAUGAUCUGGAAAACGUGACAUUGGAGUAAUCCUGCUUGACUGAACUUGAAUCAACAUUUUUGGCAUAAAGAAACAUGGACAUCCUGAUCUUUUCAAAGGCUGUGUGAGACUAAGCCUUUGAUCAUUUGUGGGAACAAUCCUAGUGCUUCUUCCUCUUCUGUUUGGAAAAUUAUACAUGGUCUGACAUUGGUGGGCAAAAGAACUUAGCUCAAUUUUCUGCUGAGAGUUCGUGAUUAGAAACUAUCAUUGGAAAGAAAGAUUGAUGUAGACUGGGACUGUGGUAUUGAGCUUCUAAUUUUUUAUUAUACUUCUUGAUGUGUCACUCAACUAAGAUUUCUUUUUUGAAGUGGGGCUGUAGAUCACUGUCAGAAGUUGUCUCUGUUCAUACAGUUUAUUUUUUACUAUUGUCUUGUUAGUGGUUUUAUUGUUGACUGACAGUAGCUGGAUUCCAGCUGCUGCUUCACAUGUAUUUCUUCUUCGUAAUGCCUGAAAAGAUAUUAUUUGUGGAAGAAUGUACCUGAAUAUUUACCUUUUGUAUGCUUCUAGUUAAUAGAAUCCAUGCUCCUGCAGUGUCUUUUUAUCUUCUGAAAGUCCUGUAAACAGAGAACGGUAGAGGCCUACUCUAACUUUAGAGUUAAGAAAUCAUUUAUAGAAAAAGAAGCAUUUAAUGUGUGUAGAAUGUGCCUGUUUUAAAAAUUUAUUGGAUAUGCUAUAAAACAUUAUGCAUUCUUUUUUGGCUUCAGCUCUGAUGUUUUGCUUAUGAUGUAUCUGAUCCCAGAGUAGAAGUAUCUUGAUCAUGACAAUUCAGCUAUACAUCUAUUCUUAAUCUCUUUCUUCCAUAAUUGUGAUUAAAACUCACUUUGAUACCAUUUCUUAGAUUUACAUACCUUUUCAGAUUUUUCUUGUUUUCUGUUGAGUAGCAUACAAAAGUAAAAGAAUCACUUUACUCUUAUCACAAAGGUAUAGGGAUUAGGACUGGAAAUGACAUUCAGGAUAAAUUUAUCUAGUCACAUGUUUUAACACCUUGGUAUGUGUUGGAAUUCUAAAAUGUAUCCUGACCUCUGUAUGUAUCUGAAUGGCCUUUGCUUCCAGGAUAGACUUGACUAGUUUUAUUUCUGAAAUAGAUGAUGUAGAGAUUAAUCACUUAGAGCUGUAUGUACAGCAUUGUCAAAAUUAAUAGUUUCUUUCUUUUUCUUAUCAUUACAAUACUCAUUUGAAUGAUCCUGCAGUUGGUCAUGUUCAUAAGCAUCUGUUCGUUUUUUGGUGGGUUGUCUUGUAUUCUUCUCCCUUUGGCAUGCUCUUAUACUAGUAAAAAACAUCAAGGGCUAUGACAUUUGUUUCUGAAAUAGUUUAGGACAAGGCUAAAGAAAAGAUAACCUCUUACUCCAAAGCCUUUAUUCGUAAUUGCCACAAAGAGCUGUUCCAUUUAGGCUCAUUCACAAUACUUUCCUUAUGCCAAAAUAUUACUUACAAAGACAGGCGUUUGAGAGUGGCGUUUGAAUGAAGUUACAUGUUUAGUUUGGUUGCUGUAAAAAAAAAAAAAAAAGCUUUUUUUGUACACUUUUCUUUUUUAACAUACUUUUAGCGGGACUUUAAGAGGUUUGAACAUCAAGUCAGAUGAGCAUUCAACAAAAUAAAACCUUGGUCCAUCUGUCAAGCUAUUGCAUUUCAUUUGUAAUACGUUCAGUACAUUUGCUACAUUCCAUCAGUUAGUUCCUGUCCCAAGAAGAAGAUAUCUAUAUGUGUAAGAUUAGCCAACAAAUUGAUUACUUGGGGGAAUGAAAGAGAUCCACACUUCUGGCAUUUGAAAAUCUGCAUUCAGUACUUGAUUGAGUGUCCCUCUGUAUUUAUCAUUGGAAUAUACUUAGGUACCUGUUAUCAUAUGUGAACAUUUGUGAAGAUCACAAUAAAUAAAUAAAUAAAAAGGGAAAAAACUUAGAGGUGUAUUGGAACUCCUUAGUAAAGCGCAGAUUUUGGAAGAAAUCUCUUAUAUGACUCCAGCUUAAAUAAACUUCAGUUGCAUACAACUCAACCACACCAAAAGGACUCCGGUAACAAUAAUAAAAGAUAAUAGUCUUCUAGAUAUCUCAAAGACAAAAUUUUAUAACAAUCAAAAUAGCAGGAAGACAAUUUAAAUAUCUCUCUAGAAUUCACACAUCAGUUAAACUGUAAAUCUGAAUAAUGCUAAAUAAAUCAAACAUGACAUUCGUUUUUGCUAACUACCUUCUGCUAUGGUCUGAAUACCAGCUGUCUGAUACUUUCAAAUAUGAAAAAGGUUAUGGUGUUGAAUUAACUUCAUCCCAUCUAGAAAGGUGAAAAUGGUGUUCUUGCUUCCAAUUCUGUUCAGGUGAUAAUUAACUAGAAAUAAAAUAGUAAAUAUGAUGCAGCUGUUGUAUGGAAUUAUGAACCUGCCAUUACUUGUUGUAUUGAAAUCAAUAGCUGUUUAAAGUCAAUGGGAUCUAUGAGAUGAACAGAAUUUGAUUCUCGUUAGACAUUUUCUUAUGCUCAUAAUCCUCAAGAAUUUUCCCAAGAAAAUAUCUGUUAAGUUAGAUUCUGAGUUAUUUACUGGAGAAAAAUAGAACAAUUAUGAUGUCUUUCUGUAUAGCUUUUGAGAAAGAUAUGGAAAUGUUCUUUCUAGGGCAGAAAGAAUAUUCAGAAAGACAACUGGAUUACCCACUCUGUACUACAGAUUGUCGAGGGGUCUGUAAAUUUCCAUGCUUCAACCACCUGACUUCUAGCUUCUGUGGCUGAUUUGUUGUUGGGGAGCAUUGUUCUCCCUGAUGUGUCACUUUCCCUUUGAAGGAGCUCAGAAGCUGUGCACUGACAUGAUGUAGUUUUAAAGAACUGCUCAUAAUUUCUUCCCAGGCUACCUCUCCAUCUUCCUUGAAUCACUGAUUUAGAUUAAGUUUUGAAUAACAUUUCACCUUAGUCAGUAACAUAGGACUAACGUGCAAAAUCUGGAGAAAGCCAGAAUUAUUAUUAUUAGUAUAUACAUAAAUAUUAUGCAUAUUUAUUGGAUACUUAUUAUGUACUACUUGUUAUUUAUUACUAUUAUAUUAGUAAUAGGGUUGAUAUAUUUUUCUUCAAAUAGCUGAUUAUGUUAAUAAGUAAAGAUAUCAGUUAUGAAAGUUAGACUUUGUUAAAUAUUGAUAGCGAACUCACAAAGCUUGUCCAUACUUUAUUACAAAAAUAAAUGAAAAAUUCCAAAAGCUGUUAGUCUAUUUGAAGCAUUCAUGAUUUUGAUAAUUUUCAAGAGCACUGCUGCUGACAUGUCACCCUGGGGGUAACUUCGGUCAUUUAUUUACUUUCUGAUAUGUUUGAUAUAACACUGUCAGAACAGAAAAGAUGCAAAGCAAUUAAAAAUCCUCUCCUUGCCCAACUGGAGUAAUUUACCAACACACAGGCUCUUUGAUGCAUUCAGUUUUAUUGUGAAAAAAGCAAAACAAAACACUGUGUAUUUCUUACAGCUUUUGACGAGAUUCAUUUUGAAUCUUUGUGUCAGGAGAUGUACAAGUGUUAUCUGUAAAUGAGAAAUGUAUGCAAGGUAGUCAACUACUGCUGAAUUUCAAUGAACUUUGUGGUUCUAAUGUCACAAAGCUCUGUCAAGUGUUAACAGAAAUUAAAGGUAAAAUUCAUAUGGAGCUUUCACAAAUCACAAACUUAUCUGUCAACAUUUUAUAAUAACCUAACAGUUAUGAUCUAUCAAGGUAUUAAAGUGCAAUUCUGAGCCCCAAAGGAAAAAUCAUGACAUUCUCAGACCAGUAAAAUAACAAUAAAUAUUUUUAUUGAACAGUGUUGUCAAGCUUUCCUUUCAAACUUUUCUCACUAAUUGCAUUUCAAACAACUUCCAUUACAAAUUCUGAAAGUAAACAGGAAAAAACACUGAGACUGUUAUAACUUUGAAAUGCUUAUCUUUCUUUUCUCUUGCAUAUUUUUAAAGCCAGUUUUAUAUUUUUUAUAGUGUAGUUUUCUUUACAAGCACAUUAAAUUGUAGAACUGCAACUCCCAUUUGGCAGGGCAGGAGAGACAUUUAAUACCUGAAAGCAUUCCAUCUUCUCUCUCAACACUUAUGUUUCUGUAAAGACUCUCUUACAUUAAUCCAGACAUUGUACAGUAACUUUUUUUGUCUACUUGGCCCUAACUUUGAAAAUCUAUCAGGUCUAUGAAGUUCAUUAUGCUUAUUCAAAUCUGUAUUAAUCUUAUUUUCUGCUGCUGAAAAUACAAAGGAAUAGAGCCAGAUUCUGGUCUGCGUUACAGCUUGGUUUUGCUGCUUCAAGGUUCAAAGGGCCAGAAAGGUAAUCAGAACAGUCAGCAAAGGUUUGGGUCAAUUUCAUCGACUCCACUUUAGUUUUCCAAUAUGAAGUCAUGUCAAAUUUCAAAUAUUUUCUGUUACAAUAACAUCUGCUUGGCAUUGUCUAAAUAAAAAAUUAUCCAGGAAGAGUGUAUCAUAAUUACUUAUCAGUUUGCCAUUGCCUUUUCACUGAAUGGUUCGAAAGUUGUGUGGUUAGUCAAGGUGUGGAAAAUCGAAGUUCAGUUCUUAUAGGUGUAUGUGUUUGUUAGACAUACCUGUCUGAGUGGAUUAGAACUCAUAUGCCAAGAAAGUUUUCUGAUGUCUAGGCUGUACAUAGCUCACUCUUUAAUACUGGAACUAUUUUUUUCUUAGUUAAACUUUCAAAAGAUCAGGGACAGGAUGGAUUACCUUUGGCCCUAUGUGAGUGCCGUAAUGAUCAAAAGAUUGUUACUAUUUUUUGAUCUAGUACAGUAUAGAAUGGCCCAGGUUGGAAGGGACCUCAAAGAUCAUGAAACUCCAACCCCCCUGCCAUAGGCAGGGCCACCAACCUCCCCAUUUAAUACUAGACCAGACUGCCCAGGGCCCCAUCCAAACUGGCAUUGAAAACCUCUAGGAACAGGGCAUUCACAACCUCUCUGGGAAGCCUGUUCCAGCACCUCACCACUCUCAUAGUAAAGACAUCCAAUCUAAAUCUUCCCUUCCUCAACUUAAAACCAUUUCCCCUUGUCCUGCUGUUACCUACCCUUUCAAGAGUUGAUCUAUUAAUUACUGAAUGCUUUAUACAAAAUCAAAGAGAAGACCUUCAAAUGCCUAUUUUUUUUUUUCAGAUACAAAGGUAUACAUAUAUAUAUAUGUAUACGUUUAUACACUAUAUAUGCGUAUACCUAUAUAGACUCACUCUAUAUAUAGUAUCCUCAUGUUCAAGCAUCAUCUUUUUCUACUUUUGAACAGUGUAUGCUUAUGCAGGCUAGCACAUAUAGCUCUUAAAUGGGUAACUGCAUAUUGGAAAUAAAACUGCAUUUGGAAAGGAAUCUCUUACAGGUGAUGUAUGAAAUUUUAGUAGUUUUUUGCAGUGAGAAUCUAAGGUAAAGGCUUAUCCUCUGUUUUGGUGGCUGGGACAUGUGCUUUAGAAAUGUUUCAACUCUCUUUAGCUGGAUAUAGAUCUUGAAACUGUACUUCCAGUGUGUCAGGUAGACACUGUUACCAACUACUGUAUGUAUUUAUAGAGGUUGUCUCCUGUUAGGAGUGUCUGUCCUUUUGUUUCCUUUCCAAUUUUAUACAAGAAAAAGAAAGGAGCUUUAGGGGUUUUCCUUUUCAGCAACAAAAGCCAUUUUACUAUUUUAAUCAUUUUAAGUUUUGUUUGCUAUAAACUAUUUUUUACAGGUAAUUUUUUCUAUUUCAUAUAAUCUGCCAAACCACAAAUAAUCUCUGUCUCCUUAUGUCAUAAAACCAUAGUUUUAGGUUGUGGACAAACAAUCAUUUUUGUUUAACUGCAGUCUUUCUGAUACCUUCUUCAUCCUGUUACUGAAGUUUUGACUUAGUUGCUAUGAAUCACUGUUUUAACAGUACUCAUAUUUAAUCUAUAUGCUGCUGUCCUCCCUAUAGCAGAAGUAUUAACUACAUGUCAGACAAGCAGUGUAAGAGAAAGGUACAAAUUAUUCUACUUCUCUAGGAGAGAACGUGCUCCAGGGGAGCAAAAGGGUGGCUGGGGCUUGCUUUCCUAACAUCAAAGAUCAUUGCACAGGGAUCCUCUUGCAGGGGACUAUUUAUGUGCUUGGAAAGUUUUGCGGGGAUAAUUUCAGUAAAACAAAGCUGAACUAAGGGAAUACUUGUUCCAAGGGGAGAUUUCCUGCCUUCAUUAUAAACUUCAUUAUCUGUAAGAAAACCUCAAGAUGCUUGCUGCAAUUGCCAACAGCCUACUCAUCUCAGAACCUUACUAUGACCUCAUUAUUUCAUUGACCAUUUGCUUAAAUGUGCUUGCUUUUUAGACCCUGUUAUUUAAUACUUCUUACUAGAUUUUAACUCUCUUGUUUUGCUUUGAAUAUUUAUUAAUGUUUAUUUGUAGGGAAUAAUGUUCAGUACUCGCUUCACUGUACGAUCUUUAAAAUGAUGUAAUGCUUAGAUUGUAUCUUCCAUGCAAAAGGAGUACAUAUAUUCCCAAUACUGACAUUUUUAACUUGUAUGCAUGUAUGAAAACAAAACUAGAAUGCCUGAGGAAAAUCCUCAAAAAUUUUAUUUAAAAUGAUAAAAAGAAUAAUUAAAAAAAAAGACAUUUUUUCAUCAUUAGCUCUAGGUUAUGAUACUACUGACUAGAAGCAUUUCAGCUUCUAGGCAGGGACAUUAGGACAGAAAGAGUUUGCAUUAGCUUAAUGCUUGGACUGUCUUUCUUCACUAAAAAACUCCUGUUGAAGCAGAGUUGGUAGAAGAAAGGAGAUUGCUUUCUUGCAGUGAUAUCUUUUUUGUCUAAGAACUGUCUCAGUACUGCAGAAGUACUAAGAACUACAGAAAUAGCUUAAGAAUGUAUUUGUAGUUAUAUUAUAACAUGCCAUAUAUACCUAAAGGUAUCAUAAAUCUGGCGAGUAUUGGAGAAUCCAUUGUGAGGCAUAUUUUGAAUCCAUUUCUACCUGGAGAAUUUUCAUUCUGAGGUAAUUCCAUUUGUACAGGAGAAAUAUUUUGCUUGGAAAGGGGAAAUUGGUGUUCCAAGUUUAAUAGAAUCUGGAGUCCAGGAAAGACAACAAAGAUACAUUUCCUUGCACAUUUAAACAUUCAUAAAUUUAGAAAAUGACAUUGUUCAACAUAAACAUUAAAUCCCAGUUUUAAAACCUCCUCUUCUUUUGUGGGCUAAGUAUUCCAAGUAUAACUGGAGUCUUCAAAGUUACUUUUUUGUCCUUCUUCAAACUGUGCUGUGUUAGAGUCAUGGUGCAGCUUUCCAAUUUUAUGUGUUUUAUGUAACACAGAGCAUAACUUAAGUGCUCACUUUUGGAAUAUUCCUUUUGAUUUGGUAGUUGUUGUAAAUUUUAUAGCAUUAGAAGCUAAUAUUUUGUGGCAUAAUUCCUUCAGAGCUAAUGUCUCCUUCUUUUAUGGUAUUCUCGGAGAUACAAGUACCUGAAAGUACCUGAAGUUAUAUACUAGUUUAUUCCUGUAAGUAAUAUCUGUGGCUGUAACAGAUAAUACUGUAAGUAAAACCCAGGGGAGAAUUUGUGGAUAGUAGGCACAGCAGUACUAUGUCUCUGUGUAGUGGAUUAUAGAGUAAUAUUUUUCAUUUUAGAUUUUGACCUAUGCAUACACUUAAUUAAUAUGGUUGCAGAAUUGGGUCACUGAGAAUUAUCUAGUGUCUCACUUGCUUGAGGCCUCUGUCUUGAGCUCAGAAUCUUUGAUUUCUUAACUGAGUCAGAAAGAGUGUAUUCUGGAGCAAGACUAUAGCUUUGUUUUUGGGCACCAGAAAUGUGUUUGGAGGAUUUGUGGUAUACAGAGUGUUACUCACAGUCUACAUUGCAGUAACAUGGAAAGAGCUUUGGGUUUAUGUGUACAAAACUAGCUGAAUUUCAUGUUCCAAAGAUUUUUAUUCUUUCAUAGUUCUUGUCAGUUCCAUCUAUACGCUAAGACGUUUGCUAUUUCAGCUAAAAUUUUAUCCCUUUACCAAUUCACCUUGUUUUUCCAUUAGUAUUGCCUUUUUAAAAUUAGCGUAAAGGAGUAGUUUCAUUUUGAUUUCCUGAUUCAAAUUACUGAAUUCUAUUGAAUAAGAUUUCAAACAGCUUGAACACAAAAGAUAAACAAUAACAAUUUCUUUGCUUUCAUACAACUUUUGAAGCUUGUUUGCCAGUACCAGUCCUAUCAGUGAGGUGGCCACUCUGCUAAAUCCACCAGAGAAAAUGAACAUAAAAACAAGAUAACACAAAGGCUGCAUUAAAAUGUGAGAAAUAUUUCAGUGCCCAAAUUCAGCUACUUGUGUCAAGGAUACAUAAUGAGACA